AAGUCGUAACAAGGUUUCCGUAGGUGAACCUGCGGAAGGAUCAUUAACACGUAUCCAAACGUUAAAACCCCCCCCCGUGAACCUUUAUGAGUGCGCACCGUCGGGUAUCCCGAGUCGUAGUGUAUGGUAAAUCAUGGGUAGAGUUGGGGUUCUCUCAACAGGCUACAUUAUUGAUUCAAUGACUACGAUUAGCUGACGGAGUCGCGAGCUCGAAGCAGCAGCGGCCCAAGCAAUAACAUGUCUGAAAGUGUCAUUUAUUGUGUAAGCCGGCGCGUAAGCGUGCACUGGAGGCCAUCACGGCCAGUGACUGUUUCGGCCCUGCGUGGGCUCCUACCACAUUAAUUUUACCUCGGUGGUGCGAGGGCCAAGUGGCCUGCCGCACCGAACGCACAACUGUUAACAAUGGAUAUCUUGGUUCUC
Molecule: unclassified non-coding RNA, 420 nt
Filed under: fungal sp.
Lineage: Eukaryota; Fungi
Description: partial internal transcribed spacer region
Rfam family: Eukaryotic small subunit ribosomal RNA (bases 1-46)
Source: RNAcentral